GGGUUGUGAGGUUAAGCGACCAAGCGUACACGGUGGAUGCCCUGGCAGUCAGAGGCGAUGAAGGACGUGCUAAUCUGCGAUAAGCGCCGGUAAGGUGAUAUGAACCGUUAUAACCGGCGAUUUCCGAAUGGGGAAACCCAGUGUGACUCGUCACACUAUCAUUAACUGAAUCCAUAGGUUAAUGA
This 185-nucleotide ribosomal RNA is filed under the name Salmonella enterica. RNAcentral describes it as "partial 23S ribosomal RNA". It matches the Rfam family "Bacterial large subunit ribosomal RNA", at positions 1 to 177 of the family's 2925-position model. Lineage: Bacteria; Pseudomonadati; Pseudomonadota; Gammaproteobacteria; Enterobacterales; Enterobacteriaceae. The record is from RNAcentral. RNAcentral also lists the same sequence under 1 other name.